This 2929-nucleotide ribosomal RNA is filed under the name Escherichia coli O157. Its description in RNAcentral is "bacterial LSU rRNA". It matches the Rfam family "Bacterial large subunit ribosomal RNA". Lineage: Bacteria; Pseudomonadati; Pseudomonadota; Gammaproteobacteria; Enterobacterales; Enterobacteriaceae. The record is from RNAcentral.
GGGUUGUGAGGUUAAGCGACUAAGCGUACACGGUGGAUGCCCUGGCAGUCAGAGGCGAUGAAGGACGUGCUAAUCUGCGAUAAGCGUCGGUAAGGUGAUAUGAACCGUUAUAACCGGCGAUUUCCGAAUGGGGAAACCCAGUGUGUUUCGACACACUAUCAUUAACUGAAUCCAUAGGUUAAUGAGGCGAACCGGGGGAACUGAAACAUCUAAGUACCCCGAGGAAAAGAAAUCAACCGAGAUUCCCCCAGUAGCGGCGAGCGAACGGGGAGCAGCCCAGAGCCUGAAUCAGUGUGUGUGUUAGUGGAAGCGUCUGGAAAGGCGCGCGAUACAGGGUGACAGCCCCGUACACAAAAAUGCACAUACUGUGAGCUCGAUGAGUAGGGCGGGACACGUGGUAUCCUGUCUGAAUAUGGGGGGACCAUCCUCCAAGGCUAAAUACUCCUGACUGACCGAUAGUGAACCAGUACCGUGAGGGAAAGGCGAAAAGAACCCCGGCGAGGGGAGUGAAAAAGAACCUGAAACCGUGUACGUACAAGCAGUGGGAGCCUCUUUUAUGGGGUGACUGCGUACCUUUUGUAUAAUGGGUCAGCGACUUAUAUUCUGUAGCAAGGUUAACCGAAUAGGGGAGCCGAAGGGAAACCGAGUCUUAACCGGGCGUUAAGUUGCAGGGUAUAGACCCGAAACCCGGUGAUCUAGCCAUGGGCAGGUUGAAGGUUGGGUAACACUAACUGGAGGACCGAACCGACUAAUGUUGAAAAAUUAGCGGAUGACUUGUGGCUGGGGGUGAAAGGCCAAUCAAACCGGGAGAUAGCUGGUUCUCCCCGAAAGCUAUUUAGGUAGCGCCUCGUGAAUUCAUCUCCGGGGGUAGAGCACUGUUUCGGCAAGGGGGUCAUCCCGACUUACCAACCCGAUGCAAACUGCGAAUACCGGAGAAUGUUAUCACGGGAGACACACGGCGGGUGCUAACGUCCGUCGUGAAGAGGGAAACAACCCAGACCGCCAGCUAAGGUCCCAAAGUCAUGGUUAAGUGGGAAACGAUGUGGGAAGGCCCAGACAGCCAGGAUGUUGGCUUAGAAGCAGCCAUCAUUUAAAGAAAGCGUAAUAGCUCACUGGUCGAGUCGGCCUGCGCGGAAGAUGUAACGGGGCUAAACCAUGCACCGAAGCUGCGGCAGCGACACUGUGUGUUGUUGGGUAGGGGAGCGUUCUGUAAGCCUGUGAAGGUGUACUGUAAGGUAUGCUGGAGGUAUCAGAAGUGCGAAUGCUGACAUAAGUAACGAUAAAGCGGGUGAAAAGCCCGCUCGCCGGAAGACCAAGGGUUCCUGUCCAACGUUAAUCGGGGCAGGGUGAGUCGACCCCUAAGGCGAGGCCGAAAGGCGUAGUCGAUGGGAAACAGGUUAAUAUUCCUGUACUUGGUGUUACUGCGAAGGGGGGACGGAGAAGGCUAUGUUGGCCGGGCGACGGUUGUCCCGGUUUAAGCGUGUAGGCUGGUUUUCCAGGCAAAUCCGGAAAAUCAAGGCUGAGGCGUGAUGACGAGGCACUACGGUGCUGAAGCAACAAAUGCCCUGCUUCCAGGAAAAGCCUCUAAGCAUCAGGUAACAUCAAAUCGUACCCCAAACCGACACAGGUGGUCAGGUAGAGAAUACCAAGGCGCUUGAGAGAACUCGGGUGAAGGAACUAGGCAAAAUGGUGCCGUAACUUCGGGAGAAGGCACGCUGAUAUGUAGGUGAAGUCCCUCGCGGAUGGAGCUGAAAUCAGUCGAAGAUACCAGCUGGCUGCAACUGUUUAUUAAAAACACAGCACUGUGCAAACACGAAAGUGGACGUAUACGGUGUGACGCCUGCCCGGUGCCGGAAGGUUAAUUGAUGGGGUCAGCGCAAGCGAAGCUCUUGAUCGAAGCCCCGGUAAACGGCGGCCGUAACUAUAACGGUCCUAAGGUAGCGAAAUUCCUUGUCGGGUAAGUUCCGACCUGCACGAAUGGCGUAAUGAUGGCCAGGCUGUCUCCACCCGAGACUCAGUGAAAUUGAACUCGCUGUGAAGAUGCAGUGUACCCGCGGCAAGACGGAAAGACCCCGUGAACCUUUACUAUAGCUUGACACUGAACAUUGAGCCUUGAUGUGUAGGAUAGGUGGGAGGCUUUGAAGUGUGGACGCCAGUCUGCAUGGAGCCGACCUUGAAAUACCACCCUUUAAUGUUUGAUGUUCUAACGUGGACCCGUGAUCCGGGUUGCGGACAGUGUCUGGUGGGUAGUUUGACUGGGGCGGUCUCCUCCUAAAGAGUAACGGAGGAGCACGAAGGUUGGCUAAUCCUGGUCGGACAUCAGGAGGUUAGUGCAAUGGCAUAAGCCAGCUUGACUGCGAGCGUGACGGCGCGAGCAGGUGCGAAAGCAGGUCAUAGUGAUCCGGUGGUUCUGAAUGGAAGGGCCAUCGCUCAACGGAUAAAAGGUACUCCGGGGAUAACAGGCUGAUACCGCCCAAGAGUUCAUAUCGACGGCGGUGUUUGGCACCUCGAUGUCGGCUCAUCACAUCCUGGGGCUGAAGUAGGUCCCAAGGGUAUGGCUGUUCGCCAUUUAAAGUGGUACGCGAGCUGGGUUUAGAACGUCGUGAGACAGUUCGGUCCCUAUCUGCCGUGGGCGCUGGAGAACUGAGGGGGCUGCUCCUAGUACGAGAGGACCGGAGUGGACGCAUCACUGGUGUUCGGGUUGUCAUGCCAAUGGCACUGCCCGGUAGCUAAAUGCGGAAGAGAUAAGUGCUGAAAGCAUCUAAGCACGAAACUUGCCCCGAGAUGAGUUCUCCCUGACCCUUUAAGGGUCCUGAAGGAACGUUGAAGACGACGACGUUGAUAGGCCGGGUGUGUAAGCGCAGCGAUGCGUUGAGCUAACCGGUACUAAUGAACCGUGAGGCUUAACCUUACAACGCCGAAGGUGUUU